AGGCCAGUAGCUCCAAUUGGUAGAGCGACGGUCUCCAAAACCGUAUGUUGCAGGUUCGAGUCCUGCCUGGCCUG
RNAcentral lists this transfer RNA (74 nucleotides) under Candidatus Omnitrophota bacterium. RNAcentral's name for it is "tRNA-Trp". It matches the Rfam family "tRNA". From Rfam's summary of the family: Transfer RNA (tRNA) molecules are approximately 80 nucleotides in length. Their secondary structure includes four short double-helical elements and three loops (D, anti-codon, and T loops). The record is from RNAcentral. Lineage: Bacteria; Pseudomonadati; Candidatus Omnitrophota.